RNA transcript from Oncorhynchus tshawytscha (Chinook salmon), 925 nucleotides. It is a transcript of the gene named proline-rich basic protein 1, with no coding region annotated. The transcript is spliced from 3 exons. NCBI's taxonomy places the organism in Eukaryota, Metazoa, Chordata, Actinopteri, Salmoniformes, Salmonidae. The record is from RefSeq and is a predicted model, not a curated record.
GUAUGCUCAGCUCCAGUACAACCCAACCAGCACCUGCUGCUAGAGCUAACUGCCACGCCGUCGUUUCAGCUCCCACUGGGCCUGGACCACAUAGCCCCAGGCCAAACCUCAGGAGGAGAGAAAAGAAGGUUUUGUUGGAGGAGGAUUUGACUGGAGUGGUGGUUGAUGUGUGAAGAGUUUUCUCCAGGCUGGGCUUUAGGAUCUGGUCAGAGGGCUCAGGCUGACAUGACAUGAGGGGGGCCUCCUUCUAGUUCACAUGAAGCCUUGAACCCUGAAGAACUAUUAAGAGUGUGACUUAGAAAGUAAGACAGCAUCCUACAUCGCAUUUAAAAUAGAGCACUGUGGCAGUAGAGAGAUGUCAGAAUAACCUCUCCAUGUGAUAUCAUUGACGAGGAGGAGGACAAGGACUUUGGCGCCAACUGAUGACGUCAGCGAUUCGACUAGUUCCUACUGCGCUGCCCUAUGUUCACUAAGUGAUUUUGGCGAGGUGGAAGAACCAAAUGACAAACCGUGUCCUGAGCCCCAACCUCUAGUCUCAGCCCCGCUAACACCACCUUUAUCUGAAGUUAGUGAUGCUGCUCUACUGCCUGAGCCCUGUAUAACCAACCUGACAGAGGAGGGAGAGAGUACAGACGGGUCAGGAAAACAUCAGAUAAAACUUCUGCAUCCAAAAAAUGGGAUACCUUAAGGGGCACUGUCGCUGGCGCCCUCCCUGAUACUGACACCAAUGAGGGGCUCUGAUCCUCUCAACCCAGAUUCACCUCCAAGACUAUUUUGAUCAGACCAAAAGUAAACCAAUACAACCAGGACAGGGGACGAGAACACUUGGGCAGAAAGCCAAAUGAGGAUUCCACAACAUAUGGUAGAAAGCAGGAAAAGGGUCCCAGUAUCUGUGGUACUGAAAGUAAACUCCUUAGCAGCCCCC